AGAUCAUGAUGCGGGCAGUUUCUUAGCAAGCCUUUGUAUCUCUCCCACGCCUUGUAUAAUGACUCUCCAACUUGUUGUUCAAAGUUGGCAAUAACUUUCUUUAGUUU
This is a small nucleolar RNA of Lactuca sativa (garden lettuce), 107 nucleotides long. The record is from RefSeq and is a predicted model, not a curated record. Lineage: Eukaryota; Viridiplantae; Streptophyta; Magnoliopsida; Asterales; Asteraceae.